Molecule: long non-coding RNA, 877 nt
Organism: Microplitis mediator
Lineage: Eukaryota; Metazoa; Arthropoda; Insecta; Hymenoptera; Braconidae
Exons: 4
Source: RefSeq, a predicted model, not a curated record
CCGAAAGAUCAUUUCAAAUUUUCUUUUCAUUUAACCAAGAUGAGGAUUGUUGGUGUGUAGAAGGGAUUAAUUUUCGAAAUUAUAUUUCAAUAACAAGUAAUAUAGAUCAUGCUCGGGCUUUUCUAUGGGACCAAAAUACCGAAGGAGAAAUCGAUACUCCUGAUCAAGGAAUUGAUUCUAUUUACAUAAGUAAAAAUGGUCUGGAUUUUAAACCAAUUAACAAAUCUAGUGACUCCGCAGAUGACUCACGCCAAACAAAAGAUAAUUCUGACAAAAAUGAGACGGAUAAAGAAAAGUUAAGCAGUAACGGCGUUUUAUUAAACAAUGACAUUCAGAUAUCAAUUCGCUCUGUGCGCGAGAGCAGCGCCCGGUAAUAUAUUGUAGUGAUUGGUAUCUUAAAUUAAUAUCACUUAUACACUACAAUGAUAACACACUUAAAUUAUAAAUAACAACACCACAAUUAACAGCAGUAAAGAAAGCAAGAGAGAGCAAUAUAGUUUAUUGAGAUACAAUGUUUGCUGUUAAACUGUCAAUAUAAGACUGACUGACUUUUGUCGCGUAUCUAUAAAACAAGAGAAGAAGGCAUUUGUUUUCUAGCUAUUCAAAUAUUUUAAAGAUCAGUUUCACAUUCGUUACAAUAUGAACUAAAGGAGGAUAUUGAAGUACAUUGAACAUACAAUUUGAUAGGAGUUUGCGUUAUAAAUUAUAAUUUUUAUCUUAAAAAAAUUCUAUGAAUAUAAAAAGCAAGUGAAACGUUUAAUAAAUUCUUAGUAUAUAUUGUUAUCAAUUUAGCUAACAAAAACUAAGUAUGAUUAAUAAAUAAAUACCAAAUAAAAUACUUAAAACUCAGUGAAAAUUUGGUUUUAUAACUGUCAAA